AUUGAACGCUGGCGGCAGGCCUAACACAUGCAAGUCGGGCGGAUGAAGGGAGCUUGCUCCUGGAUUCAGCGGCGGACGGGUGAGUAAUGCCUAGGAAUCUGCCUGGUAGUGGGGGAUAACGUCCGGAAACGGGCGCUAAUACCGCAUACGUCCUGAGGGAGAAAGUGGGGGAUCUUCGGACCUCACGCUAUCAGAUGAGCCUAGGUCGGAUUAGCUAGUUGGUGGGGUAAAGGCCUACCAAGGCGACGAUCCGUAACUGGUCUGAGAGGAUGAUCAGUCACACUGGAACUGAGACACGGUCCAGACUCCUACGGGAGGCAGCAGUGGGGAAUAUUGGACAAUGGGCGAAAGCCUGAUCCAGCCAUGCCGCGUGUGUGAAGAAGGUCUUCGGAUUGUAAAGCACUUUAAGUUGGGAGGAAGGGCAGUAAGUUAAUACCUUGCUGUUUUGACGUUACCAACAGAAUAAGCACCGGCUAACUUCGUGC
RNAcentral lists this ribosomal RNA (485 nucleotides) under uncultured bacterium. RNAcentral describes it as "partial 16S ribosomal RNA". It matches the Rfam family "Bacterial small subunit ribosomal RNA", at positions 30 to 508 of the family's 1533-position model. The record is from RNAcentral.